RNAcentral lists this ribosomal RNA (253 nucleotides) under uncultured bacterium. RNAcentral's name for it is "partial 16S ribosomal RNA". It matches the Rfam family "Bacterial small subunit ribosomal RNA", at positions 524 to 776 of the family's 1533-position model. The record is from RNAcentral.
GACAGAGGUGCCGAGCGUUAGGCGGAAUCACUGGGCUUAAAGCGUGUGUAGGCGGGCCGUUAAGUAUCUUGUGAAAUCCCCCGGCUCAACCGGGGAAUGGCUGGAUAUACUGGCGGUCUUGAGCGAUCUAGGGGCAGAUGGAACAAGUGGUGGAGCGGUGAAAUGCGUAGAUAUCGGGAGGAACACCUGUGGCGAAAGCGGCUCACUGGACCACAACUGACGCUGAUGCGCGAAAGCUAGGGGAGCAAACAGG